RNAcentral lists this ribosomal RNA (47 nucleotides) under Aspergillus nidulans. Its description in RNAcentral is "partial 28S ribosomal RNA". Lineage: Eukaryota; Fungi; Ascomycota; Eurotiomycetes; Eurotiales; Aspergillaceae. The record is from RNAcentral.
CCUCGGAUCAGGUAGGGAUACCCGCUGAACUUAAGCAUAUCAAUAAG